RNAcentral lists this non-coding RNA (193 nucleotides) under Acetivibrio ethanolgignens. The record is from RNAcentral. Lineage: Bacteria; Bacillati; Bacillota; Clostridia; Acetivibrionales; Acetivibrionaceae.
UUGAAUAUGUAACAGUAAGGUGUCGGAACAAUUAAGAAUGAUUGGUUCCGGUGAAAAGGGAAACAGGUGCAAAUCCUGUGCGAACUCGUCACCGUAAUUAAGGAGCAGAAGCCGAGAUAUCACUGGGAAACUGGGAAGAUGGCUGAUGUGAUGAUCUAUAAGCCGGGAGACCUGCCUUAUUGUUGUACAGAAA